GAAAAAUAUUAUUGACAAGUCUUCAACAAAAUUUUCGGCAAACAUCGUAAGAACUAAAUUAUCGUAGUUAUUUUGGAAUAUAAAUUCUCAGUGUAAAAUACAAAAUGGUUUUCGGACUCGGAAGAACUAAAUCGGAGCCAUGCAGAAUGAUGGCCCCACAACCAGAAAAACUCAACUUAAAUAUGUCAUUUUUCGGUGUGAUAUCUUCCCUUUUACUCUGCAUAUGUGACAUAUUAAAUGGCAUUUGUUACGUAUUAAUAUUUCUGUGCAGCGUUUGUUUACAACUUCUUUAUUGUGCAAUGGCUUGUUGAAAUCUAAAUUGUGUUAACAGUUUUAAUUGUAACUAAGUUAUGACAAAAAUGUAAUUUGUAAUUUCGAAUAUUGUCCUAAGUAUAUUGAUGAAAAUUU
This is a long non-coding RNA of Papilio xuthus (Asian swallowtail), 408 nucleotides long. RefSeq lists it as uncharacterized. The transcript has 2 exons. Lineage: Eukaryota; Metazoa; Arthropoda; Insecta; Lepidoptera; Papilionidae. The record is from RefSeq and is a predicted model, not a curated record.